GCCGGGCGCGGUGGCGCGUGCCUGUAGUCCCAGCUACUCGGGAGGCUGAGGCUGGAGGAUCCCUUGAGUUCAGGAGUUCUGGGCUGUAGUGCGCUAUGCCGAUCGGGUGUCCGCACUGAGUUCGGCAUCAAUAUGGUGACCUCCCGGGAGCGGGGGACCACCAGGUUGCCUAAGGAGGGGUGAACCGGCCCAGGUCGGAAACGGAGCAGGUCAAAACUCCCGUGCUGAUCAGUAGUGGGAUUGCGCCUGUGAAUAGCCACUGCACUCCAGCCUGGGCAACAUAGUGAGACCCUGCCUCUU
Molecule: signal recognition particle RNA, 300 nt
Filed under: Homo sapiens (human)
Lineage: Eukaryota; Metazoa; Chordata; Mammalia; Primates; Hominidae
Description: Metazoan signal recognition particle RNA
Rfam family: Metazoan signal recognition particle RNA
About the family: The signal recognition particle (SRP) is a universally conserved ribonucleoprotein. It is involved in the co-translational targeting of proteins to membranes.
Source: Rfam by way of RNAcentral